This 329-nucleotide ribosomal RNA is filed under the name uncultured eukaryote. RNAcentral describes it as "partial 18S ribosomal RNA". It matches the Rfam family "Eukaryotic small subunit ribosomal RNA", at positions 1470 to 1796 of the family's 1831-position model. The record is from RNAcentral.
CCCUUAGAUGUUCUGGGCCGCACGCGCGCUACACUGGUGCGUUCAACAAGUUUACAACCUUGAUUGACAAGUCUGGGUAAUCUUUUGAAUGCGCACCGUGCUAGGGAUAGAUUAUUGCAAUUAUUAAUCUUGAACGAGGAAUUCCUAGUAAACGCAAGUCAUCAGCUUGCAUUGAUUACGUCCCUGCCCUUUGUACACACCGCCCGUCGCACCUACUGAUUGAAUGACUCGGUGAAAGAUUGGGACUGUGAGAACAAUUGAUUCAUUUCAAAUGUACUCGUGGGAACUUUUUUUAACCUCGCCAUUUAGAAGAAGGUGAAGUCGUAACA